Molecule: ribosomal RNA, 463 nt
Filed under: uncultured Desulfobulbus sp.
Lineage: Bacteria; Pseudomonadati; Thermodesulfobacteriota; Desulfobulbia; Desulfobulbales; Desulfobulbaceae
Description: bacterial SSU rRNA
Rfam family: Bacterial small subunit ribosomal RNA
Source: RNAcentral
CACAAGCGGUGGAGCACGUGGUUUAAUUCGAUGCAACGCGAAGAACCUUACCUGGUCUUGACAUCCCGGAGACCCUUAGGAAACUAGGGGUGCUUCCAUCUGGAAGAAUCUGGAGACAGGUGCUGCAUGGCUGUCGUCAGCUCGUGUCGUGAGAUGUUGGGUUAAGUCCCGCAACGAGCGCAACCCUUGCCUUUAGUUGCCAGCAGUUCGGCUGGGCACUCUAAAGGGACUGCCGGUGUUAAACCGGAGGAAGGUGGGGAUGACGUCAAGUCCUCAUGGCCUUUAUGACCAGGGCUACACACGUACUACAAUGGCCGAUACAAAGGGCAGCGACACUGCGAGGUGAAGCCAAUCCCGUAAAAUCGGUCUCAGUCCGGAUUGGAGUCUGCAACUCGACUCCAUGAAGUUGGAAUCGCUAGUAAUCGUGGAUCAGCAUGCCACGGUGAAUACGUUCCCGGGCCUU